CCUGAACGCUGGCGGCGUGGCUAAGACAUGCAAGUCGCACGGGCGUAGCAAUACGUCAGUGGCGAACGGGUGAGUAAUGAAUCGCUAAUGUACCCCGGACUCUGGGAUAGCCAGCCGAAAGGCUGGGUAAUACCAGAUGAUAUGCAGCUAUCGCAUGAUGGUUGCCUCAAAGGUCCGCCGGUCUGGGAGCAGGCGAUUUCGUAUCAGCUAGUUGGUGAGGUAACGGCUCACCAAGGCGACGACGCGUAGCCGGACUGAGAGGUUGGCCGGCCACAUUGGGACUGAGACACUGCCCAGACUCCUACGGGGGGCUGCAGUAACGAAUCUUCCGCAAUGCACGAAAGUGUGACGGAGCGACGCCGCGUGGAGGAGAAGCCCUUCGGGGUGUAAACUCCUGUCAGGGGUUAGAAAGUUCUGAUCAACCCCAGAGGAAGGCACGGCUAACUCUGUGCCAGCAGCCGCGGUAAGACAGAGUGCC
This 478-nucleotide ribosomal RNA is filed under the name uncultured bacterium. Its description in RNAcentral is "bacterial SSU rRNA". It matches the Rfam family "Bacterial small subunit ribosomal RNA", at positions 30 to 535 of the family's 1533-position model. The record is from RNAcentral.